UGCACAAGCCGGUGGAGCAUGUGGUUUAAUUCGAAGCAACGCGAAGAACCUUACCAGGUCUUGACAUCCAGUGCAAACCUAAGAGAUUAGGUGUUCCCUUCGGGGACGCUGAGACAGGUGGUGCAUGGCUGUCGUCAGCUCGUGUCGUGAGAUGUUGGGUUAAGUCCCGCAACGAGCGCAACCCUUGUCAUUAGUUGCCAUCAUUAAGUUGGGCACUCUAAUGAGACUGCCGGUGACAAACCGGAGGAAGGUGGGGAUGACGUCAAGUCAUCAUGCCCCUUAUGACCUGGGCUACACACGUGCUACAAUGGACGGUACAACGAGAAGCGAACCUGCGAAGGCAAGCGGAUCUCUAAAAGCCGUUCUCAGUUCGGACUGUAGGCUGCAACUCGCCUACACGAAGCUGGAAUCGCUAGUAAUCGCGGAUCAGCACGCCGCGGUGAAUACNNUCCCGGGCAA
This 459-nucleotide ribosomal RNA is filed under the name uncultured Eubacteriales bacterium. RNAcentral's name for it is "bacterial SSU rRNA". It matches the Rfam family "Bacterial small subunit ribosomal RNA", at positions 922 to 1379 of the family's 1533-position model. The record is from RNAcentral. Lineage: Bacteria; Bacillati; Bacillota; Clostridia; Eubacteriales.